GAAAUAUUUAAAAUAAAGCUUCUAACUUUAUAUAAAGGUUUAAAUAAAUCUAUAUUUCU
RNAcentral lists this transfer RNA (59 nucleotides) under Apis nigrocincta. Its description in RNAcentral is "tRNA-Ser". The record is from RNAcentral. Lineage: Eukaryota; Metazoa; Arthropoda; Insecta; Hymenoptera; Apidae.